Molecule: unclassified non-coding RNA, 679 nt
Filed under: Phaseolus vulgaris (common bean)
Lineage: Eukaryota; Viridiplantae; Streptophyta; Magnoliopsida; Fabales; Fabaceae
Source: RNAcentral
UUCGAAAAUAAAGCAAAUUUAUCGGUUAAUUCAAUAAUAAAUAAGAAAUGGGAAUUAGUACUCCAUUUUUUGGUACUAUUCAACCAAUCCCCUUUAAAUGUUUACUUACUUAUUCACUUUCAAUGAUUGAAUUCUUAAUCUUAUUCCAGUUAUUUUCAAAAUUUCAAUUGGAUAAAAUCUUUCGAAAGUCUUUUCUUUUUUUCUAGCAUUCUAGAUAAUAUCAUCUAUAUUCUCUAUGGAAUUCGAACCUGUACCUUAAUUUAUAAUUCAUUUUUUUUUUAUCAUUGGCUUUCGUAUUUCCUCAGUAGACAAUUUUUUAGACUUACCCUAUUUUUUUUGACCUCUUUUUUUCUUUUCUGGGGGGGAAAGCUGCCUAUUUUUACAUCUAGGAUUUACAUAUACAACAUAUAUCACUGUCAAGAUUAAGAGUAAAUUUUUUUUAUUCUUUAGAUUAGAUCUUUCGAUUCCGUAAUUCAAAAAUAGGAGAUUCCUAUUUGAAAAGAAACAAAGAUUGGGUUGCGCCAUACAGAGAAAAGAGUAUACAAUAAUGAUGUAUUUGACAAAUCAAAUACCAUCGUUUAAUUUAAUAAUAACGAACCUUUGGGAUGAAUUGAUAAUAUGAGUUUAUUUUUAUAAAAGAUUUCAUUAACUCCUAAGUCAUAUCGAGUAGACCUUAUUG